This 253-nucleotide ribosomal RNA is filed under the name uncultured bacterium. Its description in RNAcentral is "partial 16S ribosomal RNA". It matches the Rfam family "Bacterial small subunit ribosomal RNA", at positions 524 to 776 of the family's 1533-position model. The record is from RNAcentral.
UACGAAGGGGGCUAGCGUUGCUCGGAAUCACUGGGCGUAAAGGGUGCGUAGGCGGGUCUUUAAGUCAGGGGUGAAAUCCUGGAGCUCAACUCCAGAACUGCCUUUGAUACUGGCGAUCUUGAGUCCGGGAGAGGUGAGUGGAACUGCGAGUGUAGAGGUGAAAUUCGUAGAUAUUCGCAAGAACACCAGUGGCGAAGGCGGCUCACUGGCCCGGUACUGACGCUGAGGCGCGAAAGCUAGGGGAGCAAACGGG